AGAGAUAUUUGGAUGGAAACAUUAAAGUAAUGACUUUAGUGUGUUCCAUUAUGAAUGCAAAAUAUAAUGCCAUAUAGAAGUUUACAACAAUGUUGUUUGGUUGGGAAAGUUCAUUUAUGAACUCUCUAUUCGGUUCCAACCAGAAAGUGUAUGACACUAAUGGGGCGAUAGCUCAAGCCAGGGAAUCAAGGUCUCAUCAAGGUCCGAACUCAUAUGAGAGACUGAACCACAUGAUUGAGAAUCAUGUAUAAUGGUGACGUCGUUAUUCUCAAGGUUGCUUCUAUGGAUAACAUAUAGAUAUCCAUUGUCUAGGCCUACUACUCAGUCAUUUAUGAAAUAACUACAGAGGAGGUAUCAUCACUGAUGACCAAGCUGAUUGGCUCUAGUGCAAGUGGGAGAUUGUUGGAAAUGUGCCCUAAAACCAAUCAUAUGAUGAUACUUUACGGACAUUUCACAUGUUAAACUAAUCUAGUUUAAUAUCAAGGGCAAAGAUUAUUGUUUUUAAGCCGUCUCAUAUAUAAAUGUUAUAUGCUUAAACGAUAAGUCCAAGGAAUAUGUGAUUGGGAGAAUGCAAUCUAAAGAAGUUAGAUUCAUGAGACCAUUCUUUCGUAGACACAUCCUAAACGUUCCUGAUCAUAGGAUUGCCAAUUGGGCAUUGACAGUCCGUUAAGAUCAGUACGUGCUGUGUCUUCUCUCAGGAAGAGUGACUAGUCUCGAGUCAUUGGUGUGUGUGACAUCAAGACAAGUACGUAGGUGCUCAAUAGAGAAUGAGUUCACUGAACACGAUCAACGAAGAGUUCUCAUAUUCAUGUCACAUGAGAACUCAUGGUUGGGAUAAUGCAAAGUAGUCCUUUGACCUGAGGCAUCACAGCUGUCUUGUGGUUAAGUCCUUGAUCUUUGAUUAUGUCAAAGUCACCCCAUCCGCGGGUGUCCACGGCAUCGUUGGGGUUAAGCUACUUAGCCAUGGAGGCAAAUGAAUGCGCAACAUGGGAUCUCUAACCUUCAAAUCGUUUGAGGGAGAAUACUCUAUGAUAUGAUUUAGAACCUCUGGCCAGAGUAUGAAUGAGAUUUAGGAAAGCGGUCCAAAUCACAUUCAAGGUAAUCAUAUAAGCACACGAAUCACAUUGGAUAGUAGACAUGAAUAAAUAAACUAUCAAACCAAACAAUGUGGUCAAGAGUAUUAGAUUAGAGAAAGACCGUAUUGCAUUUGUAAUCCUAAACUGAAUAGGUUCUCCACCUCUUCUGAUUAGCUUGGGUAACCAUGAUAUGCUGCUAGGUGUCACUCAUGGUUUGUGGAAGCCCUAAACGUGUAUAAUCACUAAAGGGAGAAUUGAAAGUAAGUUUCAAUUCACAAUCGAUUUUAAAGAGUUUUAAUCAUCCACUGCCUCGCUAAAAGGAACCUAAUGGAUCGUACACCGUGUAAGGUGGAGAUUGAAGAAACAAUGGAGAUGAGUAAGAAUAAUUACAUGGUUUAAUUAUUUAUGGCAAGGAUUAAUUAAUAUGUUAAUUAAUCAAACGAAUAAAGUUCGUUAAAAGACCACGGGUUAGUUUUGGGCCUCAAGGCCCAAUGGGCUUCGAACGUCAAGCCCAUUGACUUAAGUUGUAUGACAACUUAAUACACAAAGGCCCAAAAGCCCAAUAAAACCCUUAUGGACGGCCAUGUUAGAGAGAAUGGCCUUUUGGUUCUUUAGGUCACUUAUUUGAAGUGACUAUAUAAAGGACUUUAUAGCCUAAAUUCAUUAAGGGUUUCUUUUAGAGAAAAUUGGUGAGAACUUGUCUCUCCUUUUCUCUCUAGGAGGCCGGCCCCCUUGGAGGGUGGAUCUAGCAAUCCCACUACUCCAAGGUCACUCAUUUCUUCUCCAAUCUCUCCUUGGUGUGGAUACUUAGAGGUUCUCAAUUUUGGGAACUUGGAGAAACCUUUUCAUCCAUCCAAAUCCAUAGAUUUUAGAUGCAAGGAAUGAAGGCCCUCUAUUUGGGUGAUUAGCCUUUGCUUAUGCAAAGAGGAAUCUACAAAGGUAUAAAUUUCAACUCACUUUGUUUUUUAGUUGAGUUUUGGUUCACCAAUCUACUAGGCUUUGAAUUUCAUGGGUAAUGUUUUGUUUUUGAAUGCAUGCAAGCAUGAUUCCACCUUUAAUUGUUAAUUGCAUGCUAUAUGAUGUUAUUCAAAUGAACAUGUUUUCACAAAAUCAUCCUUCAGUUAGGUUCAGAACUAAUCAUGUAAAUUGAUUCCAUGAAGUUCUAGGAUAAAUGCCAUGUUCUAGGGUUCAUGUGAUGUUCAUAAUCCUCUUCGUUCUUAAUGAGUUUCUAGGUGCUAAAUAUGAGUAUAUGUCAUGCUAGGUUGCACCUACAAAUACAAGUUUUAUGUUUAUGCCAUGCAUCUAACAGGCAAAGUAAUAGAGAAUUCUUACAAUCUAGUUAUAUGCCAUGCUAGAUAUGUGAACAUCUUAGUUGUGCAUUUGAAAGGGAUAAGUUAAAAGAUUAUAUCAUUGAUUCAAGAAUGUUUAGGGGAAUGCCUUAGCUCAUUUAAAGUCAGAUUUAUGUCCUAAAAACGUUUCUAACCUAUUUAAUGUCUUAGGUUUGUUUUUAAAUAGUUCUAAUUUUUUCCAUUUGCUUUCUAUCUUAAUUUCUUUUCCAAAAUUUCUCAAACCCCCCAUUUUAAGUCAUAGGAGUCUUUAACGAAUGCUAAUUUGUAAGAGUCAAAGGUUUUACUAAGCUGUUUCUCAGUCUCUGUGGUUUGACACCCUUACUUGUGCCGCUAUACUAUCCUUAUAUUUGCACUCGAAAGGAACUUCAACAAGUUCUGAUUGUAUUGUGAAACAAUGUAUCGAUAUGAUGACAAGUGAAUUUAAGAUGAGCAUGGUUGGUGAAUUAAACUACUUUCUUGGACUUCAAGUAAAAGAAGAAAAGGAUGACAUCUUAAGUAUUUGGUUUUCCUUGUCAAUUAUUGUAUUUGUGUAUCACAUACUCAAUUUAGUUUUAGACUACAUUCUCUGAUUAUAGUUGCUGCUACUGGGUUUAAUCGUUGAAGGAUGUGGCUCACUUCACUUCAAAAGGUUUGUUUUCAUGUCUAUAUUUUUGGUGCAUCCUGUUUAGUGUUGUUGUCUAGUCAAAAUUGCUCGCUGAUUCCUAGCUAGUUGGGCAGGCAAAUUAAAGGCUACCCACAUGGGCUUCCUGAUAGCUUUCUAUUGAUGGUUAGAUCUCAGCCCUUAAUCUUUUCUGAUCUAUUUGUAGUACGGCAAGUGUCUUUGGUAGGUGAAAAACAAACUGAUGCUUUUGGGGUUAAGAUUCUUAGUUAGGGUUCCUUUUUUUGGGGGGUUUAGCAUUUAUUUUAGGGAAAUAGUGCCUUCAAAUAUUUGAGCUUGCGUCUUCUUCAUUUAUGGAACCCUAGCAGAAUGAGAAGGAUUCUUGUUAUGAUGAUAAAGAAGAAAAAGAUGAUGUUAUUACUACUCUUGAAGCUCAAGUUUAAACAUUGUUGGAAUCUCAAGAAAACUUGAUGAAUCAAAUUCAUGUGUUGAAAGCAAAUAAUGUUAUGUAUCAUGAGGCUAAUCGGAAACAACUGCUUGAGUUGAAUGACAAGGUUAUUCAUCUUACCAUUGGUAUUGAAAACAUUGACAAGAUGAUGAGCCAUGGGAAACCUCAUAGUGACAAAAGUGGCGUUGGUUACAUGGAAAAUGGCUCAAGCUCGAUGGGUACCAAAUCAAGAUUUGUGAGAGAAUUUCUUCUUGUGGCACCUAAAGUCAAUCCAAGCUAAAAGUCUAGAUUUAUUCUCACAUGUUAUCACUGUGGUGAAUUGGGUCACAUUCGUCCUAAGUUUAGGAAACAUGCCUUUGGGAAGAAUGAUUCUUUGAAGAAUUAGGUGGAUCGAUUGGUCAAUGAAGUUAGAAUUGCUCAACUAGUACAAUCAUCCAGUAUGUAAAGGGUGAGGUGACACACCAUGACCCGGGAUGUCCACUAGGCCAUCCGAAUCGAGCUGUUUUGGCCGAUACCUAGAAGGUGACGAAGCCAUAAGGUUUGAUGAUAUGGAAAAAUGUGAAUAAAUUUAAACCUAAGAGUGCCUAAGAACCAGAGUGCGCUGGUGAAAGGGACUGAACCCACUUCAGAUGUGACUUUGGAGCAUAAGUAAGUACAGUAGACUGGGUUGAGAAUCAUACCAUCGAAAGAAAUCUCCAAUACUACGAUUUGCCACGAAUCCUCGUCGAUAAGAAAGCUCAACUAAUAAACUUGGAGGGUGAAAACAAAACAAGGAUGAGUAGCCUUGGAAAUAAAAUUUUGAUAGAAACCUUCUAAAACGUUAUAACCCCUCGCUGCAACACCUGUAUAGUUUCCAGAAAAUCAUACCACGUAUCCAUAUGCAAUCAAAAGUAUAUCAACAGUAAUUCCAUAAAUAUACCAUGAAACAACAUCUCAUCAGGGUUUAGUGCAAGCCCAGGAUCCGAACCAUGGCAACUGUCAAGUGAAUCCUUAAGUAUUUAAGAAAUACUAAAGGAUAAAUUCCUCAAAGAUCGAGGAAGAAUUAGAGUAACGUAAUGGAAGCGUAAAUGUAUUAGAUUAUGAAUCUAAUCCAUCAUUGGAUGUUUCUUCAUUAUGAAUGAAGAGAUAAACAAAUAUCUCUUUAUUAUGACUAAAGAGAUAUUUGGAUGGAAACAUUAAAGUAAUGACUUUAGUGUGUUCCAUUAUGAAUGCAAAAUAUAUUGCCAUAUAGAAGUUUACAACAAUGUUGUUUGGAUGGGAAAGUUCAUUUAUGAACUCUCUAUUCGGUUCCAACCAGAAAGUGUAUGACACUAAUGGGGCGAUAGCUCAAGCCAGGGAAUCAAGGUCUCAUCAAGGUCCGAACUCAUAUGAGAGACUGAACCACAUGAUUGAGAAUCAUGUAUAAUGGUGACGUCGUUAUUCUCAAGGUUGCUUCUAUAGAUAACAUAUAGAUAUCCAUUGUCUAGGCCUACUACUCAGCCAUUUAUGAAAUAACUACAGAAGAGGUAUCAUCACUGAUGACCAAGCUGAUUGGCUCUAGUGCAAGUGGGAGAUUGUUGGA
RNAcentral lists this long non-coding RNA (5032 nucleotides) under Malus domestica (apple). Its description in RNAcentral is "long non-coding RNA (MDOM_LNC012651)". The record is from RNAcentral. Lineage: Eukaryota; Viridiplantae; Streptophyta; Magnoliopsida; Rosales; Rosaceae.